This 743-nucleotide ribosomal RNA is filed under the name Diorygma sipmanii. RNAcentral's name for it is "SSU rRNA". It matches the Rfam family "Bacterial small subunit ribosomal RNA", at positions 371 to 1197 of the family's 1533-position model. The record is from RNAcentral. Lineage: Eukaryota; Fungi; Ascomycota; Lecanoromycetes; Ostropales; Graphidaceae.
AUAAUGAAACCGGUAAAAAGGAGAUGUAGUUAAUAAUAUUAGAAAAUAAUAUGAAAUUAACUUAGUUAAUUAAAAUUCUAAGUAGAUAUGUGAUUAUGACAAUAUUUGCUUAUUUCUUGACAAAGUCACGUGCCAGCAGUCGCGGUAAUACGUGGUAGAUCAGUGUUAUUCAUCUUUAAUAGGUUUAAAGGGUACCUAGACAGUUAAUUAAGCAUAUAAGUGUACUAAUUAUUAACUAGAGUUUAAUGUAAGAAGGAUUGAGUACGGUGAGUGUAGAGAUAUAAUUCUGUGAUACCACUUAGGAACUGGUAAAGGCGAAGGCAACCUUUUAUGUAAAAACUGACGUUAAGGGACGAAGGCUCGUAUUAAGUAACAGGAUUAGAGACCCUAGUAUUGUGGGCAGACAAUGAUGAGUGUCAUAUGCAAGAAAAUUUUUGUGUAUAAAUGAAAGUGUAAGCACUCCACCUCAAGAGUAACGUGGCAACAUGGGAACUGAAAUCAUUAGACCGUUUCUGAAACUCGUAGUGAAGUAUGUUGUUUAAUUUGAUAAUCCACAAAUAACCUUACCACAAUUUGUAUGACUAGAUUAUUUACUAGUUACAAGCGUUGCACGGCUGUCUUCAGUCAAUGUUGUGAAACUUUGGUUAGAUCCAUUAAAUUGACGUAAACCCUUGCUUUAUUUAUAAUAAAGCAGUUCGCCUCUAUAUUGGUAGUGAUAUAAGGGACUAAGACAAGUCAUCAUG